CGAAUCGCAGCGGGAGAGUUCGCGACCAGCCAGUCGCGGCGCCGAAGGAGCAACUUCUCCCCAGAAUCUCUCAGGCCCCCAUGACCGUUGCGAUGAG
This 97-nucleotide non-coding RNA is filed under the name Intrasporangium calvum. RNAcentral's name for it is "Glycine sequence". It matches the Rfam family "Glycine riboswitch aptamer". Rfam says of the family: This family represents the bacterial glycine riboswitch. RNAcentral also lists the same sequence under 1 other name. Lineage: Bacteria; Bacillati; Actinomycetota; Actinomycetes; Micrococcales; Intrasporangiaceae. The record is from RNAcentral.